RNAcentral lists this ribosomal RNA (253 nucleotides) under uncultured bacterium. Its description in RNAcentral is "partial 16S ribosomal RNA". It matches the Rfam family "Bacterial small subunit ribosomal RNA", at positions 524 to 776 of the family's 1533-position model. The record is from RNAcentral.
UACGUAGGGGGCAAGCGUUGUCCGGAUUUAUUGGGCGUAAAGAGCGUGUAGGCGGCCAGGUAGGUCUGCUGUGAAAACUCGAGGCUUAACCUCGAGCUGUCGGCGGAAACCAUCUGGCUAGAGUCCGGAAGAGGAGAAUGGAAUUCCCGGUGUAGCGGUGAAAUGCGUAGAUAUUGGGAAGAACACCUGAGGCGAAGGCGGGUUGCUGGGCUGACACUGACGCUGAGGCGCGAAAGCCAGGGGAGCGAACGGG